Molecule: long non-coding RNA, 3243 nt
Organism: Equus caballus (horse)
Lineage: Eukaryota; Metazoa; Chordata; Mammalia; Perissodactyla; Equidae
Source: Ensembl
GUAACAUCCAACAGCUCACACUUGGAAGCUUCCUGAUCCCCGGGGUCUUUCCCUUGUGGCCAGGACCAGUGCGCUCUCAUGCCUGUUCCAAAGGUCUCUUUUCCUGGAACUAAAGGGGUGGUGAGAAGGAAUUCUGACCCAUCUAUGCUCCAGAGACAGGAGAGGAAGGAGACUUGGAGAUUCAUGAGGUAUCCUGAUGAUCUAUCAUCCAUCAUCCUGAUGAAGAUGAGUUUAAUGCCGUCAGACUGACAAGCUAUGUUUCAUGUCCUAUAUCCUGCUACAAAGGGCGUCUCACCCUGCUCCGGGAUUUCUUGCGUUCAUGUCUGUUGGGGAAGACAAGAGAGCCAGAAUAUUGUCCACCUUAUGAAUAAAGGAGGAGCAGCCAGGCUACAUGGAGUGGGUCAGGAGGAAAGGAGUCUCAAGGAUGAGCGACGGUUUAUCAAGUUAAGCAGCUUGAAAUGCUCAGCUGGCACAUGAAGGAGCAGCCAUAGGCCCCAGGGUAUCAGGACCACUGUCCACACCCAGUCCUGAGGGAUCUGGACCAUUUCACUGUUGGGAAUGUGAUCACUUCCAAAGGAAGAAGACGGACUUUGUUUCACAUUUUUGAUCACAGUCGGGGAUGAGGGAUGGCUAGAGUAGUGGACUAGCAGGUGAGCUCUUAGAUCUGCUUUCUGAUCAAAUUCUUGUGGCUGGAGGCAAGACAGAACGUGCUCGUCUAGGACAUUUACCUCAAAGUUGUGUCACAGACGACCAGUACUAGUGUCUUCUGGAGUACUUGAUAAAAAUGCAGAUUUCUGGGCCCCCUUAGACCUACUGAAUCAGAAUUCCUGGGGCCGAAGCCUGAAGAUUUGCAUUUAAGCCCACUUCCUACUAAUUCUUAUGUAGACUAAGGUUUAAGAAGCAUGGGUGUCUGGGUUAAUUAUGAGUUAUUCUUAUCAAUGAAAAAUUACACCAAAUAUGAAUUAACCGGGGCAAUUGGACAUCUGUUUGGUUUGCGGAUGCUGAUGAUGACUUUACCUAGUACUUCCCAGUUCCUCUACCAUCUUUCAGUAUCACUUCCACAUUUACUACUGAAGUUUAUUUCUCAUUCAGUGUUCUUUCUGUCGGUGCAAAGGAAAACAUCUUUGUUUUCUCUUUUAGUUUCAAUUUUUAAUUAAAAAUUUCUGAGAAAUCCUUACCUUUAAUGAAAAUGUUUCCAAAGUAUGUUCAAAGGGUGGCCACUAGAUAGAUGGUCUGAAUCUACAACAUCAGGGACUUUGAGAAGUGUAAUAUGGAGUGAAAAGAGCAAGUUAGAAAAUAUCAUAUGAUCUCACUUAUAUGUGGAAUCUUGAAAAAAAAAAAGAAAAAGCCAAGCUCAUAGAUACAGAGAACAGAUGGGCGGUUGCGAGCAGCAGGGGUUGGAGGUGGACAAACUGAACUGUCCAUGGAGUUCAACAAAUAUUUGCUAGUAUUUAUAUGUACAAGGUCCUUUGGACAGAGGAAGAGAAGUGGGACACCAUUAUCACCUGGAGGAGCAUACACUCCAAUUAUGUAGACAAGAAUAAAUAUACAUUUGAACUGUGGUGUUCAAACUUUUUUAAAAGAGCAUAAAGCCCUUGCUGUGGUCUAAAUGUUCGUGUCGCCCACAUAUUAAUAUGUUGGAAUCCUAAUGCCCAAAGUGAUGGUAUUAGGAGACGUGCCCUUUGAGAGGUGCUUAGGUCAUGAGAGUGGAGCUCUCAUGAAUGGGAUUAGUGUUCUUAUAAAAUUUAUGAGACCCCCACAGAGAUCCCUGGCCCCUUCCACCAUUUUAGGACACUGAGCGAAGGCGCCAGCUAUGAACCAGGAAGAGGGCUCUCACCAGAAUGAGACCAUGCUGGCAACUUGAUCUUGGAUUUCCCAGCCUCCAGAACUAUUCGUCCGUAUCCCAUCUCAGGCUGAGAGAUGCUGAUGUGAGGCCCAGAGGGUGGUGCCUGAGAGAGAAACCGGCGGUUGCAUAAACCGAGGCCGCUUCAGGUUAAAGGGGAGCGAGUUCUGUCUAUCCAAACGAACACCGUGAGAACUGAAGGGAUAAAUGUACCACCCGAAGGAUUCUCCUGGGACCCUCCCCAAGGACCUGGAUUCCUUAAAGAUCCCGCCAGAGCAGGAGCACUCGGAGUACGCCUUCCCCAAGCAAAGAGUCUAAAGGUCUGGGAGAUCCCCUCCCUCCCUCGUCAUGGACAAGACCCAUUCUCAGUGCUCUGCCCCACCUAACUCCAGGGCCCCACGGAAGAAACGAGAGAGGAAUCUAGAGGUCAGUGUCCCUCCCUCACUACCCCAGCUGGGUGAUCCCUGGGCGACACAAUCACCGUCCCAAAUCUCACCCUGCAGCAGCAUCGUCUCCCGCGCGUUCUCCAGGUAUUUGCACAGGCGCGGGACGCCCUCUUCCUCCAGGCCAGCGCUCCGGGACUUUGCACGGUAGGCAUCUCCCAUUGAGCCUGGGGUUUUGAGUCGCAGUGUCCGCUUCUGUCCAGGUCUCCAGGCCCGGGUGUGGCCUUCCAACGAGGCGCGGAGAAGCGGGACGCGCCAACCGGCCCCCCUCCGUUUCUGGCGCACCCAGAAGACAGGGUCCUCGGGGUCCGCCUCCGCGGGCGCGCCCGGCCCGCUCCGGCCCCACCCACCUCAGGCCCUGAGGCUAUGAUUGGCUGCGUGAACGCCAAUCAGGGCUCGGCUGGGCGCGGGCCGCAGGAACGCAGCCGGACUCGCCAGUUUGAAUGCCCGCUGGGUUAUUCUCAGCGCUCCGCGGGUGAGGUGGAAAAGAGGGACGUCAUUUGUCCCUAAACAGAAUAACCUGAGACCGCUGGUACCAUGGCUGUGGACGUGUCGGAUCGUGGGAAUCCCUAGCGCUGGUCGCGCUCCUGAGUCCGCUUCCAAACCUCAUUCACGACCCGAAAAGGAUGCAUGCAUAUAUAUGUGUGUGUGUAUGCACACAUAUAUAUGCUUUAGCGGAAUGGAAUAAAUAAUAUCUAUAAAAUAACUGUUAUAUGUAUUAAUAUAUAAAAUAUAUCUAAUUUAUGUAUUUUAGUGGAAUGGAAUCGAAUAGAAAAUACUGGCCUGCAUCACAAUGAGUGUAACUAUAGUUUCUUGAAACGUUUGUUCCAGUUAAAUAUAUUUGUGUGUGUUUGUGCAUUAGCAGGUAUAUGUAUAUAAAUAAGACAUUUCUUUUCCUGCUUUGUGUCCCCAACCCCCUCCCCCCCCCCCCCCCCCGUACACAGUUGUAUAUCUCAG